CCUACGGGUGGCUGCAGUGGGGAAUAUUGCACAAUGGGCGCAAGCCUGAUGCAGCCAUGCCGCGUGUGUGAAGAAGGCCUUCGGGUUGUAAAGCACUUUCAGCGGGGAGGAAGGCGGUGAGGUUAAUAACCUCAUCGAUUGACGUUACCCGCAGAAGAAGCACCGGCUAACUCCGUGCCAGCAGCCGCGGUAAUACGGAGGGUGCAAGCGUUAAUCGGAAUUACUGGGCGUAAAGCGCACGCAGGCGGUCUGUCAAGUCGGAUGUGAAAUCCCCGGGCUCAACCUGGGAACUGCAUUCGAAACUGGCAGGCUAGAGUCUUGUAGAGGGGGGUAGAAUUCCAGGUGUAGCGGUGAAAUGCGUAGAGAUCUGGAGGAAUACCGGUGGCGAAGGCGGCCCCCUGGACAAAGACUGACUCUCAGGUGCGAAAGCGUGGGGAGCAAACAGGAUUAGAUACCCCGGUAGUC
RNAcentral lists this ribosomal RNA (465 nucleotides) under uncultured Klebsiella sp. Its description in RNAcentral is "bacterial SSU rRNA". It matches the Rfam family "Bacterial small subunit ribosomal RNA", at positions 338 to 795 of the family's 1533-position model. The record is from RNAcentral. Lineage: Bacteria; Pseudomonadati; Pseudomonadota; Gammaproteobacteria; Enterobacterales; Enterobacteriaceae.